This 253-nucleotide ribosomal RNA is filed under the name uncultured bacterium. RNAcentral's name for it is "partial 16S ribosomal RNA". It matches the Rfam family "Bacterial small subunit ribosomal RNA", at positions 524 to 776 of the family's 1533-position model. The record is from RNAcentral.
UACAGAGGGGGCAAGCGUUAUUCGGAAUUAUUGGGCGUAAAGGGCGCGUAGGCGGCCUGGCAAGUGGAAGGUGAAAUCCCUCGGCUUAACCGAGGAACUGCCCUCCAAACUGCUUGGCUUGAGUCCGGGAGAGGUGAGUGGAAUUCCCAGUGUAGCGGUGAAAUGCGUAGAUAUCAGGAGGAACACCGGUGGCGAAGGCGGGUCUCUGGGCCGAUACUGACGCUGAGGAGCGAAAGCGUGGGGAGCGAACAGG